RNAcentral lists this ribosomal RNA (495 nucleotides) under uncultured bacterium. RNAcentral describes it as "bacterial SSU rRNA". It matches the Rfam family "Bacterial small subunit ribosomal RNA", at positions 28 to 513 of the family's 1533-position model. The record is from RNAcentral.
GAUGAACGCUGGCGGCGUGCCUAACACAUGCAAGUCGAACGGAGUUAUGAUGUGAGCGGGAAGUGCUUGCACUAAACAAUCUUUUCAUAACUUAGUGGCGGACGGGUGAGUAACGCGUGGGUAACCUGCCCUGUACUGGGGGACAACAGUUGGAAACGACUGCUAAUACCGCAUAAGCGCACGGGAUCGCAUGAUCGUGUGUGAAAAACUCCGGUGGUACAAGAUGGACCCGCGUCUGAUUAGCUGGUUGGUGAGGUAACGGCCCACCAAGGCAACGAUCAGUAGCCGGCCUGAGAGGGUGAACGGCCACAUUGGGACUGAGACACGGCCCAAACUCCUACGGGAGGCAGCAGUGGGGAAUAUUGCACAAUGGGGGAAACCCUGAUGCAGCAACGCCGCGUGAGUGAAGAAGUAUUUCGGUAUGUAAAGCUCUAUCAGCAGGAAAGAAAAUGACGGUACCUGACUAAGAAGCCCCGGCUAACCUACGUGCCAGCA